CAAAACUGACAUUUCUUGGACCUAUUUUAAGAAUUCAAUGAUCUCAUGCACAGGAAGUCGGUGUUUACCUCAAAAUGGCCGAUUCAAGGAAUUUCAUUUGCUAACACAGGAAGCAGACCCAGGAGGAACUGUCUGUUGAAGAACACCCCCCCCCCCCCCACCAAGCUGCCCACCAGAGGCCAAGCUGUACUUGGUGUUUGCCAACAUGCUGUUAUUUCCAGCCUGGUUGCUGUAGCCACAGAGGAAUUUUCAAGGACAAGAACCAGUGCUGGUAAAACUGUGGUCUCGUGUGGUUUUCCAUACCGGCUCUCGGCAAGGAUUUUCAAGAAAGGAAUACCAUCUCCAAAUCAUGAUGUGCCAAUAAGCUCCAGUUAGCUGCGGCCUUUUCCCCAGGCGGUAGUCCUGCAAUCUGAAUCCAGGAGAUGCAGCUUUGAAUCCAAUAUUUCAGAAGAAUGAAGAUAGAAAUGUAGCCCGCCUAUGCUUACAGUUCCUGAUUUCCUUGAUGGAGAAGGUUCGGCAACAAUAUGGCGGUGUGCAAUGCUAUUCCAGCUCCGGCAAUAGAAAUACACAUUUGAAUUCUACUGCUAGCUGAUGUUCAACAAACUGAUUCUUGGAACGGAAAGGAAAUGUGCCAUACCAGAAAAAGCAAUAACGAGUUCGGUCAUAAAGAUGUAUCAAAAUUAUAGCAAUUGUUGGCAUUCAGUCAUACGAACCUUUGUUGAAUAUUCAUUUAUGGAACUAAAAAAAGCGAAUAACACUAUUGCCUAAUAUAUCGAAACGGUUCAAUUUAUAAUGAUGUUAUAAACGUUUUAAAAAUAAGCCUACUUUCGAAAAUAAAGCAUUAUUCAAAUAUUUAUGAAGACUAAUCCACUUUAGGCAUGAUGAUCCCAUUGUAAACUAAAAUAACUACUUUACACAUUUACUUCCAAAGGGCAUUAAAUUUGCAGAUUAUCAAUAAGAACUGG
Molecule: long non-coding RNA, 965 nt
Organism: Mya arenaria
Lineage: Eukaryota; Metazoa; Mollusca; Bivalvia; Myida; Myidae
Exons: 5
Source: RefSeq, a predicted model, not a curated record